CUCCCCUCCUGAGGUCCAUUCUGUCUCUGGGCACUAUCAUUAUCACAAUUUUCCAGAUGAGGAAACUGAAGCAGAGAUGUUCAGUAACUUGCCCAAGGUCACAUGGUUAAGUCACGUAACCUUAGUUUCCUCAUCUGCAAAGCAGCCUCCAGGAACGACCUCAUAGUAUUUUGUCUUACGACAAUGCCUGUCACAUAAUACUUGCUAUUAUCACAAUUAUUUGCCCCUACCGAGACUCCUUCUGCUCCACCAGUUUCGCGGCAGAAUAUUAGUAUCUAACAUUUGGUGAAUGUUUCUUGUGUACUACCUUAGUGAACAUGAACUCAGAAAAUCCUCACAUUUAUCAUCAUCACCACUCCCAUUUUGGCCGCCACCAGCCUUGUCCAGAUUCCAACGCUCUCCAGGCACUACCACCAGCCCGCCCGGGCUACGUCAUUACGGCGCGUCGCGCGGGAAGCCACGGGGAGGUGAGAAAGCGCCCCUUCCUAACGCCCUUGUUUGCUUGCUUCCACUCUUGAGUCAUCGCACGGUAGGGGGGCGCGGGUCUGGAGGGGCCCUAAGGACCGCGUCAGGGGUGAAGUCUCCCCAGCCAUGACCUCCACCGGUCAGGAUUCCACCACACCCAAGGAGCGAAGGAGUAGGCACAAUCCCCACUCCCCCACCCAUGACUCCAGCAUCACCUCGAAGCGAGGUAUUAAAAAGGGUGCCAUGCUCCGCUCCAGCCCCAGUCUAGCGGAGGUAAAGAAGAAAGGCAGAAUGAAGAAGCUUAGGCCAAACAGCCGAGCAAGACCUCAUCAUGGGGCUGCAAGGGCUGGUGAGAGGCUCCUGGGACAAUCAAAAGGAUUCCUUCUAGCAUAUUUUAAUUUCAGGUAUUGUGUUGUUUAUUACUGUUUGUUUUUUAGUUCUUCAGG
This 911-nucleotide long non-coding RNA is filed under the name Capra hircus (goat). RNAcentral describes it as "lncRNA (ENSCHIG00000004205.1)". The record is from RNAcentral. Lineage: Eukaryota; Metazoa; Chordata; Mammalia; Artiodactyla; Bovidae.